AUUGAACGCUGGCGGCAGGCUUAACACAUGCAAGUCGAGCGGGGGAAGGUAGCUUGCUACUGGACCUAGCGGCGGACGGGUGAGUAAUGCUUAGGAAUCUGCCUAUUAGUGGGGGACAACAUCUCGAAAGGGAUGCUAAUACCGCAUACGUCCUACGGGAGAAAGCAGGGGAUCUUCGGACCUUGCGCUAAUAGAUGAGCCUAAGUCGGAUUAGCUAGUUGGUGGGGUAAAGGCCUACCAAGGCGACGAUCUGUAGCGGGUCUGAGAGGAUGAUCCGCCACACUGGGACUGAGACACGGCCCAGACUCCUACGGGAGGCAGCAGUGGGGAAUAUUGGACAAUGGGGGGAACCCUGAUCCAGCCAUGCCGCGUGUGUGAAGAAGGCCUUAUGGUUGUAAAGCACUUUAAGCGAGGAGGAGGCUACUUUAGUUAAUACCUAGAGAUAGUGGACGUUACUCGCAGAAUAAGCACCGGCUAACUCUGUGCCAGCAGCCGCGGUAAUACAGAGGGUGCGAGCGUUAAUCGGAUUUACUGGGCGUAAAGCGUGCGUAGGCGGCUUAUUAAGUCGGAUGUGAAAUCCCCGAGCUUAACUUGGGAAUUGCAUUCGAUACUGGUGAGCUAGAGUAUGGGAGAGGAUGGUAGAAUUCCAGGUGUAGCGGUGAAAUGCGUAGAGAUCUGGAGGAAUACCGAUGGCGAAAGCAGCCAUCUGGCCUAAUACUGACGCUGAGUACGAAAGCAUGGGGAGCAA
This 748-nucleotide ribosomal RNA is filed under the name Acinetobacter baumannii OIFC032. RNAcentral's name for it is "bacterial SSU rRNA". It matches the Rfam family "Bacterial small subunit ribosomal RNA", at positions 28 to 771 of the family's 1533-position model. The record is from RNAcentral. Lineage: Bacteria; Pseudomonadati; Pseudomonadota; Gammaproteobacteria; Moraxellales; Moraxellaceae.